AUGAGGAGAGACCUCCCAAGAUGGAUUAGGGAGCUCUUGCCUUGUUUGGAACAGUGGGAGCAGCCCAAGAAUCUGUUGGGAAUGGGAAGUGAAGACACGAGGGAGAGUGGCUGGUUUCAACCACCCCAUUCCUCAGGGCUGGAAUUCUCCUCCCAGAGAGGAUGCUGGAGGCUGGGAGUGCCUGGGAGUCCAGAGACAAACAAGGAAAUGGAGAAAAGGAAAAAAAAAAACCAAACCAAACCCAUCCAAAACUUACUGUCCACUCUCGCUCGUUACGUCUACGAAGACCUUGAUCCUCAUUCUGGAGCAGGAGUGGGUGAGACACCGCAAGAGAGAGAGGUUAUGGGUCUGCUCCAGCCCUGCAGCCACUCACCCAGCAGGGCUUUUGCUACAGCAGGGGAACUACAGGGCUCUUCCAGCACGGGAAAACCAGGGAGAAGAGGGAUGGAGGCGAACUGGAGCACACCUUGCACCCAGGUGUGUGUGUGUGAGCUCCUCAUUCAGGGAGACACUGAGCAGCACUGGCCAGUGAUCUGUAAAAAUGCCAUUUUCCUCCUGCUUAUCCUCCUUCCCUUCCUGCCCCAUGAUCCAGUGUCCUUUAUCCUCUCCAAGCCAUCCCUUUCCGUCCCCCAGCUGCCCCUGCUCUCAUCUACCUGGGGUGACCAGGAGGGAUUCGAGGGCCUGCAAAGCACCUCUCCAUUUGCUGCCUGCCUUUUCUCCUCUCCCUUCCCUUCCUUUAAACCCACAGGUCCUUCCUGCUGCUGGGAAAUGAAGGGGAAGGAGCAAGGCAGAACCUGGAGUCACCACAACCUCAGAAUACACAGGAGUGAGGGAGGGCUGGAGCCAAGGAGAGGGGCACCAGUGGCAUUUCCUUGGCCAAAAACUCUUGGAAUAAUCCAGCAAAGGGAGGAAGGCAAAGCUUGUUCCUUUGCAAAGCGUGGCCGGACAACACAACCCACCCCUUGCCUGGCUGUGGCAGCACGUCCUGCCUGUGCCAUCUGGGAAGAAUCCAGCGAAAUCAGCACUGCUUGGCAGCCUUCUCUCCCUCACCAGUCCCAAACUGGAGCAGCCAGCUGCCUGCCCAAAGGAUGCAGCGAUUUAGCAGGGGAUGGGAGCAGGCUGCUGGGGCAGAGAGCCAGGGCACAGCACAGGUACGUGCUGGGUGAGCCUGACGCCUCUCCCGGCUGUUGGGAAGGAUGA
This 1200-nucleotide long non-coding RNA is filed under the name Ficedula albicollis (Collared flycatcher). RNAcentral describes it as "lncRNA (ENSFALG00000028552.1)". The record is from RNAcentral. Lineage: Eukaryota; Metazoa; Chordata; Aves; Passeriformes; Muscicapidae.